This 253-nucleotide ribosomal RNA is filed under the name uncultured bacterium. RNAcentral describes it as "partial 16S ribosomal RNA". It matches the Rfam family "Bacterial small subunit ribosomal RNA", at positions 524 to 776 of the family's 1533-position model. The record is from RNAcentral.
UACAGAGGUCCCAAGCGGUGUUCGGAUUCAUUGGGCGUAAAGGGUGCGUAGGCGGCGCGGUAAGUCGGGUGUGAAAUCUCGGGGCUUAACUCCGAAACUGCAUUCGAUACUGCCGUGCUUGAGGACUGGAGAGGAGACUGGAAUUUACGGUGUAGCGGUGAAAUGCGUAGAUAUCGUAAGGAAGACCAGUGGCGAAGGCGGGUCUCUGGACAGUGCCUGACGCUGAGGCACGAAGGUCAGGGGAGCAAACGGG